GACUUGGUGGUCAAUUAUUUUCCCUGAAUUGAUUUGGUCAUCGAUUCUUUUGCCUGGACUGACUCUGUCAUCGACUGUUGUCCCUGGAAUGAUUUGGUACUCAACUGCUUUCCCUGGACUGAUUGGUCAUCAACUCUUUUCCCCGGAUUUACUCGGUCAUUGACUGUGUUCCCUGGACUGACUUGGUACUCAACUGAUUUCCCCUGGAUUAAUUCAGUCAUUAACUCUUUUUCCUAGUUUGACUGGGUACUCAACUCAUUUCCCUGGAAUGAUUUGGUACCCAACUCAUUUCCCUGAUUCGACUCGGUACUCAACUGGUUUCCCUGGAAUGACUUGGUACUCAGCUGGUUUCCCUGGAUUGACACCAUAUUCAACUUGUUUCCCUGGAUUAACUUGGUAUUCAACUCAUUUCCCUGGACUGACUCUACCCUGAAAUGAUUUGUGCCCUGGACUGUCUGGUAUUCAACUCUUUUCCCUGGAUUGACUCAGUCAUUUGCCCUCAUUUCCUGUUUUACUUGGAACAACUCAGUCAUUCACUAUUUUCCACACUGAGGGCAUCUCCAUGACUUCCUAUCAUCAAUGCUUUCCCUGGACUAAGUCAGUCAUAGACUCUAAUCUCUGGAAUGACUCAUGAUCACUAUUUUCCAAUCUCUGGAAUGACUUAUGAUCACUAUUUUUUCUGGUGUGGCUUGGUAACUGUCUUUUUUAAAUGAACUGAAGAGAUCAUGCCCUGCCACCUCAUCAACUAUUUAUUUCCCUUGUUGUGACUUUGUCAGAGGCUGUGUUCCCUGGGCUGAGGUCAUCUCCUCUUCUUUUUGUCAUCAGUAUUUUCCCUGGAGUGACUCGGUCAUCUCUUCUUUUCCCUGAACUGUUGUGUAAUCACGUCUUUUCCCUGGAAUCCCUAGAUCAUCAACUAUUUUCCCUGGACAGACUCGGUUAUUGAUUAUGUUCCCUGGAGUGACUCAGUCAUUGAUUGCUUUUCCUGGACUGAUCUCUUCAUCACCUCAGUCGUCUUAGAAGGGAGAUUGCUGGUAAUAAAAGUAUAUUUUUAUUUUCAUAAAUAUGUACACAAAUACAUGAACAUAUCUUUAUACACAUGUGUAUCCAAGCCUCCUUCAGGAAGUUUCAGCCCAUCUGAGAAUGCAUAACAAUGCCUUCCAAAGUUCAUGUGUGGCAAAA
RNAcentral lists this long non-coding RNA (1179 nucleotides) under Homo sapiens (human). RNAcentral describes it as "long non-coding RNA NONHSAT223699". Lineage: Eukaryota; Metazoa; Chordata; Mammalia; Primates; Hominidae. The record is from RNAcentral.